RNAcentral lists this ribosomal RNA (464 nucleotides) under uncultured bacterium. RNAcentral's name for it is "bacterial SSU rRNA". It matches the Rfam family "Bacterial small subunit ribosomal RNA", at positions 28 to 507 of the family's 1533-position model. The record is from RNAcentral.
GAUGAACGCUAGCGGCGUGCCUAACACAUGCAAGUCGAACGUGAGAGGGUACUUGUAUCCUUGAAAGUGGCGGACGGGUGAGUAAGACGUAGGUGACCUGCCUCGAAGUGGGGGAUAACCAUUGGAAACGAUGGCUAAUACCGCAUAAGCUGGUGACGAUGGGAAUGGUUAUCAGGAAAGCUUUAGUGCUUUGAGAGGGGCCUACGGCCGAUUAGCUAGUUGGUGAGGUAAAGGCUCACCAAGGCGAUGAUCGGUAGGCUGGUCUGAGAGGACGAUCAGCCACACGGGAACUGAGACACGGUCCCGACUCCUACGGGGGGGCAGCAGUGAGGAAUAUUCGGCAAUGGGGGGCAACCCUGACCGAGCAACGCCGCGUGGAGGAUGACGGUUUUCGGAUUGUAAACUCCUUUUCUCAGGGAAGAGCGAGGACGGUACCUGGGGAAUAAGUCACGGCUAACUACGUG